CCUACGGGAGGCAGCAGUGGGGAAUAUUGCACAAUGGGGGAAACCCUGAUGCAGCGACGCCGCGUGAGUGAAGAAGUAUUUCGGUACGUAAAGCUCUAUCAGCAGGGAAGAACAUGACGGUACCUGACUAAGAAGCCCCGGCUAACUACGUGCCAGCAGCCGCGGUAAUACGGAGGGGGCAAGCGUUAUCCGGAUUUACUGGGUGUAAAGGGAGCGUAGACGGCAGCGCAAGUCUGGAGUGAAAUCCCAUGGCUUAACCAUGGAACUGCUUUGGAAACUGUGCAGCUAGAGUGCAGGAGAGGUAAGCGGAAUUCCUAGUGUAGCGGUGAAAUGCGUAGAUAGUAGGAGGAACACCAGUGGCGAAGGCGGCUUACUGGACUGUAACGGACGUUGAGGCUCGAAAGCGUGGGGAGCAAACAGGAUUAGAUACCCGAGUAGUC
RNAcentral lists this ribosomal RNA (440 nucleotides) under uncultured bacterium. RNAcentral's name for it is "partial 16S ribosomal RNA". It matches the Rfam family "Bacterial small subunit ribosomal RNA", at positions 338 to 795 of the family's 1533-position model. The record is from RNAcentral.